UCUGGUGACUAUACCGGAGGGGUACCACCCGUUCCCAUCCCGAACACGGAAGUUAAGACCUCCUGGGGCGACGAUACUGCAAGGGAAAAUAGCACGUUGCCAGGUAAUUAAGAACAG
RNAcentral lists this ribosomal RNA (117 nucleotides) under Dehalobacter sp. CF. Lineage: Bacteria; Bacillati; Bacillota; Clostridia; Eubacteriales; Desulfitobacteriaceae. RNAcentral also lists the same sequence under 2 other names. The record is from RNAcentral.